RNAcentral lists this ribosomal RNA (222 nucleotides) under Vibrio parahaemolyticus. Its description in RNAcentral is "partial 16S ribosomal RNA". It matches the Rfam family "Bacterial small subunit ribosomal RNA", at positions 1 to 220 of the family's 1533-position model. The record is from RNAcentral. Lineage: Bacteria; Pseudomonadati; Pseudomonadota; Gammaproteobacteria; Vibrionales; Vibrionaceae.
AAAUUGAAGAGUUUGAUCAUGGCUCAGAUUGAACGCUGGCGGCAGGCCUAACACAUGCAAGUCGAGCGGAAACGAGUUAUCUGAACCUUCGGGGAACGAUAACGGCGUCGAGCGGCGGACGGGUGAGUAAUGCCUGGGAAAUUGCCCUGAUGUGGGGGAUAACCAUUGGAAACGAUGGCUAAUACCGCAUGAUGCCUACGGGCCAAAGAGGGGGACCUUCGG